This 468-nucleotide ribosomal RNA is filed under the name uncultured bacterium. RNAcentral describes it as "partial 16S ribosomal RNA". It matches the Rfam family "Bacterial small subunit ribosomal RNA", at positions 28 to 507 of the family's 1533-position model. The record is from RNAcentral.
GACGAACGCUGGCGGCGUGCUUAACACAUGCGAGUCGAACGGAAAGGCCCUGCUUUUGUGGGGUGCUCGAGUGGCGAACGGGUGAGUAACACGUGAGUAACCUGCCCUUGACUUUGGGAUAACUUCAGGAAACUGGGGCUAAUACCGGAUAGGAGCUCCAGCUGCAUGGUGGGGGUUGGAAAGUUUCGGCGGUUGGGGAUGGACUCGCGGCUUAUCAGCUUGUUGGUGGGGUAGUGGCUUACCAAGGCUUUGACGGGUAGCCGGCCUGAGAGGGUGACCGGCCACAUUGGGACUGAGAUACGGCCCAGACUCCUACGGGAGGCAGCAGUGGGGAAUAUUGCACAAUGGGCGGAAGCCUGAUGCAGCAACGCCGCGUGCGGGAUGACGGCCUUCGGGUUGUAAACCGCUUUCGCCUGUGACGAAGCGUGAGUGACGGUAAUGGGUAAAGAAGCACCGGCUAACUACGUG